RNAcentral lists this ribosomal RNA (270 nucleotides) under Triticum aestivum (bread wheat). Its description in RNAcentral is "partial small subunit ribosomal RNA". Lineage: Eukaryota; Viridiplantae; Streptophyta; Magnoliopsida; Poales; Poaceae. The record is from RNAcentral.
AUGCUUCGCUCCUUUGGUGAAGUCACCGGUUUGGUCACAAAUUGUCAUAAGAGCAGUGUCGUACCUAUCUGUUGUGGGGUUGUGGAUCUGGACGAGGUAUUGCAUUCCUUCCUGGCUAACAGGGCUACUUUCCCAAUGAAAUACCUUGGUCUGCCUCUUUCAGUGUCCCGUUUGAAAGUUGUCCAUUUCCAAUACCUGAAGGACAAAGUGGCUGCCAGGCUCAUCUCGUGGCUCAGCAAGCAUGUGGCUUCGGCUGGCCAUGCUGUUUUG